AGGCGCGUAGCUCAGCUGGUUAGAGCACUACAUUGACAUUGUAGGGGUCGUUGGUUCGAGUCCAAUCGUGCCUA
This 74-nucleotide transfer RNA is filed under the name Candidatus Portiera sp. RNAcentral describes it as "tRNA-Val". It matches the Rfam family "tRNA". Rfam says of the family: Transfer RNA (tRNA) molecules are approximately 80 nucleotides in length. The record is from RNAcentral. Lineage: Bacteria; Pseudomonadati; Pseudomonadota; Gammaproteobacteria; Johnevansiales (SeqCode); Johnevansiaceae (SeqCode).